CUUAGUGGUUAUGGCGGAGGGGGUACACCCGAUCCCAUUCCGAACUCGGAAGUUAAGCCCUCCAGCGCCGAUGGUACUGGGCUGUAAUGGCCUGGGAGAGUAGGACGCCGCUAAGU
Molecule: ribosomal RNA, 116 nt
Filed under: Actinomycetota bacterium
Lineage: Bacteria; Bacillati; Actinomycetota
Source: RNAcentral